GGAGCUUGCUUUAUAUAACUUAGCAGCGAACGGGUGAGUAACACGUAGAUAAUCUAUCCUAUACUGGGGGAUAGCCCGAUGAAAGUUGGAUUAAUACCGCAUAUAGCUAUAUAGUUGCAUGAUUAUGUAGUGAAAGAUUUAUUGGUAUAGGAGGAGUCUGCGGCACAUUAGCUAGUAGGUGAGGUAAAGGCUUACCUAGGCGACGAUGUGUAGCCGGUCUGAGAGGAUGAACGGCCACAAUGGAACUGAGACACGGUCCAUACUCCUACGGGAGGCAGCAGUGGGGAAUAUUGCACAAUGGGGGAAACCCUGAUGCAGCAACGCCGCGUGAGUGAAGAAGGUUUUCGGAUUGUAAAGCUCUGUUAGCAGGGAAGAGGAAGGACGGUACCUGCAGAGGAAGCCACGGCUAACUACGUGCCAGCAGCCGCGGUAAUACGUAGGUGGCAAGCGUUGUUCGGAAUAACUGGGCGUAAAGGAUGCGUAGGCGGUUAAACAAGUUAUAUGUUAAAUAUAUAGGCUUAACCUGUAGAAAGCAUAUAAAACUGUUUAACUAGAGUGCAGGAGAGGUAAGUGGAAUUCCUAGUGUAGCGGUGAAAUGCGUAGAGAUUAGGAAGAACACCAGUGGCGAAGGCGACUUACUGGACUGUAACUGACGCUGAGGCAUGAGAGCAUGGGGAGCAAACAGGAUUAGAUACCCUGGUAGUCCAUGCUGUAAACGAUGGGUACUAGGUGUGGGUUGUGAAUAACAAU
Molecule: ribosomal RNA, 750 nt
Filed under: uncultured bacterium
Lineage: Bacteria
Description: bacterial SSU rRNA
Rfam family: Bacterial small subunit ribosomal RNA
Source: RNAcentral